This 468-nucleotide ribosomal RNA is filed under the name uncultured bacterium. RNAcentral's name for it is "partial 16S ribosomal RNA". It matches the Rfam family "Bacterial small subunit ribosomal RNA", at positions 28 to 507 of the family's 1533-position model. The record is from RNAcentral.
GACGAACGCUGGCGGCGUGCUUAACACAUGCAAGUCGAACGGAAAGGCCCUGCUUUUGUGGGGUGCUCGAGUGGCGAACGGGUGAGUAACACGUGAGUAACCUGCCCUUGACUUUGGGAUAACUUCAGGAAACUGGGGCUAAUACCGGAUAGGAGCUCCUGCUGCAUGGUGGGGGUUGGAAAGUUCCGGCGGUUGGGGAUGGACUCGCGGCUUAUCAGCUUGUUGGUGGGGUAGUGGCUUACCAAGGCUUUGACGGGUAGCCGGCCUGAGAGGGUGACCGGCCACAUUGGGACUGAGAUACGGCCCAGACUCCUACGGGAGGCAGCAGUGGGGAAUAUUGCACAAUGGGCGGAAGCCUGAUGCAACAACGCCGCGUGCGGGAUGACGGCCUUCGGGUUGUAAACCGCUUUCGCCUGUGACGAAGCGUGAGUGACGGUAAUGGGUAAAGAAGCACCGGCUAACUACGUG